CCUACGGGAGGCCGCAGUGGGGAAUAUUGGGCAAUGGGCGCAAGCCUGACCCAGCAACGCAGCGUGAAGGAAGAAGGCUUUCGGGUUGUUAAAUUCUUUUGACAGGGAAGAGUAGAAGACGGUACCUGUCGAAUAAUCCAUGGCUAACUACGUGCCAGCAGCUGCGGCAAUACGUAGGUGGCAAGUGUUGUCCGGAUUUACUGGGUGUAAAGGGCGUGUAGCCGGGUUGUCAAGUCAGAUGUGAAAUCCUGCGGCUUAACAGCAGAACUGCAUUUGAAACUGUUAAUCUUGAGUACUGGAGAGGCAGACGGAAUUCCUAGUGUAGCGGUGAAAUGCGUAGAUAUUAGGAGGAACACCAGUGGCGAAGGCGGUCUGCUGGACAGCAACUGACGGUGAGGCGCGAAAGUGUGGGGAGCAAACAGGAUUAGAUACCCGUGUAGUC
This 442-nucleotide ribosomal RNA is filed under the name uncultured bacterium. RNAcentral's name for it is "partial 16S ribosomal RNA". It matches the Rfam family "Bacterial small subunit ribosomal RNA", at positions 338 to 795 of the family's 1533-position model. The record is from RNAcentral.